CGACUCGGCUGCUACCCAAAGAGAGAACCAAACACCCACACAAUUCUCGAAUCAAACACAGAACACGGUGGAGAUCAGCUCAGGUUCAGACUCAUGAGAGGACACUGACAGAUCAUGAUUACACACCUGAUUGUCCCUGUGCUUCAGUCACCCAUAAAUCCAGUGUGAUGUCUUUCCUGCACUGUGACUGCUCUUCCCAUGCUGUAGAGACAAACGGUGUCUGAAACCUGGAAAAAUCAAGCCUACACCAUGAAGAGCAGGCCAUGCAAGAUGGCAAAAAAGAAGUCAUUAGAUGUGACAUCUACCAGAUCCACUAGAGCGCAUUCAGGCCUGAUAAAGAAUCCAACCAAAUACAGAAGCUUUGGAGAAGACUUCUUUACAGAGGUACUUAGCAAAUCACUUGAGAGCGCCGCGGACAAGCAAUAGAGCUUUCUCUUCAUAAAACUUUCUCACAAACACUGAAAAUGUAAGGGUAAAGAGGAUGAUUCCACUGAGCAUAUGGACUGGGUAUUUUCCUUCUGAUGUGAAGAACUGGGACAGCAAUGCAGAACCGGCUCAGAUGUAGUGUCUGUGCAUGCUGGAGAAAAUGCAAGUUGGCAUAAUUGUGUUCGAGUGCAGGUGAGAGCGGCUAAAGAGAUUUCUUUAUUUGGGUUGAGCUGAACGAUAUCAAAAACAGAUAUCAAACCCCUUUUGCUUAAAUCAGGGGAGACAAAGACAGUCAGCAAAAUUAUCAUUGGCACUUUAAACGUGUUUCUGUCCACGCUAAACACAAAGACCCAUGUGGUUUCUAACUAAUGUUAAAGUUAGCAUUGCUUUG
This is a long non-coding RNA of Cyprinus carpio (common carp), 817 nucleotides long. The record is from Ensembl. NCBI's taxonomy places the organism in Eukaryota, Metazoa, Chordata, Actinopteri, Cypriniformes, Cyprinidae.